This 494-nucleotide ribosomal RNA is filed under the name uncultured bacterium. RNAcentral describes it as "partial 16S ribosomal RNA". It matches the Rfam family "Bacterial small subunit ribosomal RNA", at positions 28 to 507 of the family's 1533-position model. The record is from RNAcentral.
GACGAACGCUGGCGGCGCGCUUAACACAUGCAAGUCGAACGGAAAGGCCUGCUUUCCCUUGUGGAUUGCGGGUACUCGAGUGGCGAACGGGUGAGUAAAACGUGAGUGAUCUGCCCCCAACUUUGGUAUAAGCCUGGGAAACUGGGUCUAAUUCCCGAUAGGACUGCAGGGUUGUGCCUGUGGUGGCAAACGAUUUUCUAGUGGUUGGGGAUGAGCUUGCGGCCUAUCAGCUUGUUGGUGGGGUAAUGGCCUACCAAGGCGGCGACGGGUAGCCGGCCUGGGAGGGUCGACGUCGACAUUGGGACUGAGACACGGCCCAGACUGCUACGGGAGGCAGCAGUGGGGAAUAAUGGACAGUAGUCGGAAGCCGGAUGCAGCGACGCGGCGUGGGGGAUGACGGCCUUCGGGUUGUUAACUCCUUUCGAGCGCGAGGAAGCCACCUGGUUGGAAGGGUGGUGACGGUAGUGGUAGAAGAAGCACCGGCUAACUACGUG